RNAcentral lists this long non-coding RNA (798 nucleotides) under Anser brachyrhynchus (Pink-footed goose). Its description in RNAcentral is "lncRNA (ENSABRG00000017542.1)". The record is from RNAcentral. Lineage: Eukaryota; Metazoa; Chordata; Aves; Anseriformes; Anatidae.
UUUAAUCUCACUAGAAGUUAAAAGCAUGAGUAAAUCACGUAUUAUUCUGAAAGGAUUAACACCUUACCAAUUAACAGUUUUAACAACAAAUUUAACAGGUGUUGUUAUAUAGAUACAGACCAAGAGAAUAACUUUGUUUUCCUAGACACGUAGGAGUGAUGAGACUUGUGAAAGCAUGGAUGAAAUCUUAGUGCCCUGGAAGUCAAUGACAGAACUUCCUAGUGUGCCAGUACUCAGACUUUUGAACAAAUUAAGUGCCCAAAUCCCAGUAUGCAUACCUUAGGUUUUUUUUUGUUUUGUUUUGUUUUUUUUUAGUAAAUAUCAUAGAACCUCUGAGCUGAAAUGUAAUCUUUUUUUUCUCUUUCAUUUCAGGAGGUGAUAUAUAAAUAAAUCUGAGAACUGGAGAUGAUGAUGCCAGACAGAAUAUUAAUAAAAUCUCCUUACUCCUGCUUCUACCAUAUCUCUGGAGGUAAAGAAGAGAAUUUAGCUGCGUACCAGUUGCACACAAACUACUCCCUACUGCCAAAUGUUACAGACAAGAAGUUGCCAGGAAAGCAGUGCAUCUCAAGAAUGGCGAUGCUGAUGGCUCGUUGCAGACUGGAGAAGGCUCCCGGCAUGGCAGCUGUCUGGACAAACUGCAGGAGCAGCUACUCCCAGGAACAGCCUGAAAACAGUUGGUAAAGGGGAGGCGUUUUACCUUUCUGAGUCCCUUAAAGCAGCAAUAUCUUGCAAGACUGGAGGACAAUUACAGGUGCCAUGAUUUUUUUGCUAUCAUCCUUCCUAGUUUGUCUAUUCCAG